CGUGAUUCACCUGUUCCGGAAGGGAUUUCCCAGGUCGCGAAUCGCGUUUCACUUGGCGCGGCGCAGGUGGGUGCGCGCGCACUCGCUCGGAAGUCCUCUCCAGUGGCGCCGCCGCGCGUCGGAAACUCGAAGGAGAUUCCGGACCGCUUCCGAGAACCGCGGGUGAGUCACGGCGCAGGUCGCGUGGGCGGCGAACGGGGUAGCCGGAACACAUCAAACGAGAUGCGUGACUCACCGAUUCGAUAUGUCGGAUAUUCGAGCGUGUUAACCCGCGGAGCACCGUACAAUUGCACGUAUCCUGUCGCAAAUCACUAUGCCGCGGAUCACUGCGCAGCAGGUGGUUUGGCAAAAACCGCCGCGUCACGAGUUCAUUCAAGAUGGAAAAGAAGCACAUUUGGGAGAUUCCCUUGUACGAGUUCAAAGUGGACCGGAAGGCAGCUGGAGUGGUUCGCAGUAUCGACAACGCAUUAGUCGUUAUUGAAAGGGAAGAAGAAAACAAAAAACAGAGGAAGGUCAAAUCUUAAUUGCAAAAACAGGAAUAUCAUUUUCUGGACACUCUAAUUAAAUUUCACUCGUGGGACCUGCAUCCACGAUGCCACGGAUCGCAGGAUCAUUCGUGGAAGACGUCGUCGAGGAGGACCGGGUCCCUUUACGGGCAUGCCGGCGUGCUUGGGAAACCGAGAGGCUGACAUUCACCUGCUUAGUCGGCUGACCACGAUCAAAUUCGAAUAGACAGCCGGCCGACGUCCUUGAGCUAGCUUUUGCCUGCCAAGGACUCGAGUUAACCCCAUAUAGGAGAGUACAUCGGCUGUCGAAGAAAGAAAAUGGUAGCGAGGAAUGUCAUUGCCGCUUCGUAAAUCGUCUCGCCACGAGGACCGUACGAGUCUCAUGCACGGAAGGCUGCAUACAAGUGCGACCACGCCACUUGCAAACGGCGUUAUGCGUGUACACCCGUACAUACGUUCCUCGCUGCGAAAGGCGCCGAUCUCGCGAGUCGGAAAAUACGGUCCAGCCUUGAAUCGGCGAUUCUCGAGGCUGGGAAACCGCGCGUCGUCAGACGGAAGACGUCACUCGGUCUCUGGCGGCAUCUCUAUCAGCGAUUUUCUUUGUUUUCACCGUGAUAAUGGGCAGCGUAAACACGCAUGACAUAACGAAACGAUCUCUCUACUAUUGUACCAUAACGUUGAAUUUAUGCGAGCGAACUCAGGCGCGCGCUUGUUUUUUUUCUUUUUUUUUUUCGCGCCGCAUCGAGGCAUAUCGGCGGCCCGCAAUAAAUUGCGAAAUUAAUAACGCGAGUCCUCGCCCGGUUAUCUUAUCGCCGCUAUUUCGGGGCGUGUUGGUUCGACACUUACGUCGUUCGCCGAAAAUACGCCAACCGAGCGGAGAGCCUACAAAAGAGAACCCCGCGACUCCGGUCGCCGUUCCGCCGUGAUUCGCUCGAAUAAAUUCAGAUUAGACGGGAAUUGCCGGCGAACGCCGAGACCGCUUACUUGUCUCGACGAUCGCGCACUUUUAUGCGUAGUUAUCUAGAAUUUAAGAUUACGUGAUGUUAGAGAUUUAUUGUAUCUCAUUCGGGGGAACGGUUGUGCGUUAUGCGGUAUGUCUGCGCGGGUCCGAGGUACGAGCUUCCGGCGUCACCUGAGAAUCUCUCGGCUUAGCCCUAUUCGUGACGCGAGCGAUUUGCGACCAUUUGCGUCACCGUUCGCCGCGCUCGCUGAGUUUGCGGAGUUUUUCCAGGACAAAGGAGGAAAGCCCGCUAACCGGCUCGCCUCGCGGAAUACGAAGCGAAAUCGAGCGCAGUUGGACUAUGGCCUGCAGCUGGUUCCCGGGAAUGUGCCGCACAAGAUGUAACGAUAUAUAGUCCUAAUGAGUCAACCCUGUGCGGGUGCACGCACGUGUGUUUCAGCUGAGACGUACGGCUUGCAAAAUACCGGAGACAAAGCCGAGAUUACGCGCGCCGUCCUGCGACUUUCCGUUUCUGUGCGACGAGAUAGGAGAUUUCGUCCGGGAGAUCCUCGCUUUGCUCAAAACCCGUGAUGGAAUCGAAAGACACGUAUCGUGGAAGUCUAAGGGAAAAGAAAGACUUUGGGAUUUUCAUUUGGCAAACAAAAGUCAGUAUCAAGAGCCAUUGUCACGAUGCGUAAUCUUCCCUCACCAGAGAACGGGUAGGGUCAUCCUUGUCGUAGAGUGAAGUAUUUUGCGAAUCUAGUGGGACAAAUCCAUGAAAAUCAUAAUUAUAGGACGCACUUCUUAUUUCUUAAGUUUCGCUCUCAUACAUCAUUUUGUUAAGCGAGAUGCGUUAAACUGUGCUUUUGGUUUCACAUCCUAAGUUCUCUUUCGUUUCUCCGUUACCAAGGAAAGAGAGUUGCGUAUCACGUUAAGCGUUUGCCAUGUAUGGCUUGCAUCCGGUUAGAGGGGAAGAAAAAAAAAUGUCGCAGCCCGGAGAACAAAGAUUUCAGGCGUUCAUUGAAAUUCAAAAUCCAAGUCGAAUAAAGGAGCCCGGGCGCGGCCUACGACGCACUCGUAGAUUUCGGGACGUAUGGCUCCCUUUGUGCUUUUCCUUUAUUCCGUCUGCCCACCGCAGACGGUGGUCAAAGAUAAGGAAACAACGACGACACCCUCAUUCUCCGACGGUUUCUUUGUGCGGCUCGCGUGCGCCUCUAAUCCUACGAGCCAUUGUAUGCAAACCACGAGUAAUUUAAUCAUUUCAUAUUCUCAGGACGCGCUCCAAAACUUGACGCUGUCCGACAGGGCUCGAAUGGAACUGGAUUUGAAUUAGGCAUUUGGAUAGAAUUCAGCAGAGCUUGGGACAUCUUUUGUUUCAACCCAGAGGAAGAUCAUGAAAAAGAAAGGGUUAUUGAAAUUGUUCAUCUAUAUCGUUGGACACUUGUGGAUGUAACUUAAGAGCGCUUCCAUUUUGUACCGUGUAAAUAAGAACGAAAGUUAGAUCAAUUAAGAUUUUCUAUUGUUUCUUUGUUAUAAAAGCUGAUGCAAGCAGUGAGUAAGGUCGGAG
Long non-coding RNA from Orussus abietinus, 3013 nucleotides. RefSeq lists it as uncharacterized. The transcript has 3 exons. Lineage: Eukaryota; Metazoa; Arthropoda; Insecta; Hymenoptera; Orussidae. The record is from RefSeq and is a predicted model, not a curated record.